RNAcentral lists this small RNA (1100 nucleotides) under Septonema sp. NK413. RNAcentral describes it as "eukaryotic LSU rRNA". The stretch from base 499 to 1100 matches the Rfam family "Eukaryotic large subunit ribosomal RNA", at positions 1 to 601 of the family's 3401-position model. Lineage: Eukaryota; Fungi; Ascomycota; Dothideomycetes; Venturiales; Cylindrosympodiaceae. The record is from RNAcentral.
UGGGGUGUACUAUUCCCUCAUGUGGCCCCGUAAAAAAGGGAAUCCAGCACCGCCUAACCUUGCAAACUUUUAAAAACGUUACCUCGGCGGGUUUGCCCGCCGGUGGAUAUAUAUUAAACUCUUUAAAUAUGACUGUAAAUUAGCAUUAAAUGUCUGAAAAAUUAGUUUAAAUAUUAAAACUUUCAACAACGGAUCUCUUGGUUCUGGCAUCGAUGAAGAACGCAGCGAAAUGCGAUAAGUAGUGUGAAUUGCAGAAUUCAGUGAAUCAUCGAAUCUUUGAACGCACAUUGCGCCCCUCGGUAUCCCGGGGGGCAUGCCUGUUCGAGCGUCAUUUCUACCCCUCAAGCUUAGCUUGGUAUUGGGCAUCAUUAUUUUCUUUUUAGGGAAGUAAUGUGCCUUAAAUGUAGCCGGCGGCAAGCACCAGUUCCGAGCGUAGCAGUAAAACAUUUCGCUUUGGGAAUUUGGAGCAUUGUUAACCGUAUAAAGUCUUUUAUAGUUUGACCUCGGAUCAGGCAGGGAUACCCGCUGAACUUAAGCAUAUCAAUAAGCGGAGGAAAAGAAACCAACAGGGAUUGCCUCAGUAACGGCGAGUGAAGCGGCAAUAGCUCAAAUUUGAAAUCUGGCGUCUUUGGGCGUCCGAGUUGUAAUUUGUAGAGGAUGUUUCGGCAUUUGGCUCUAGUCUAAGUCCCUUGGAACAGGGUGUCAUAGAGGGUGAGAAUCCCGUAUGUGAUUAGUUGCCUUUGCCAUGUGAAACUCCUUCGACGAGUCGAGUUGUUUGGGAAUGCAGCUCUAAUUGGGAGGUAAAUUUCUUCUAAAGCUAAAUACUGGCCAGAGACCGAUAGCGCACAAGUAGAGUGAUCGAAAGAUGAAAAGCACUUUGGAAAGAGAGUUAAAAAGUACGUGAAAUUGUUGAAAGGGAAGCGCUUGCAAUCAGACCUGCUUGCAGUUGUUCAUCUAGGCUCUCGGGCCUAGUGCAUUCUUCUGUAAGUCAGGCCAGUAUCGGUUUAGGCGGUUGGAUAAAGAAUUCAGGAAUGUAGCUUCUUUCGGGAAGUGUUAUAGCCUGUUUUGUAAUGCAGCCAGCCUAGAUCGAGGACCGCGCU